AAAGACUCCUUUCCUGAUCCAAGAUCGACCAACACUACAUGAAGAAAAGCAGCUUUUCACAGAAUAACUUUAAGGUUAGAACAAAGGAAAAGAUUUUGUCAGCUCCUUGUACCAACAUCCCUGACUCACUUCCUCUAUGGCAAGAAUGAUAGCAUGGUAACAAGCUGUUCCUUGUUAACCAAAGUGAUAGCACAUGGCUUGGCCACUGUUUAUUUCUGUUCUAUAAUUUACCCACUCACUACUGUCUCAAGAAUUAUCUAUACUUCUCCAGUCAGCAGUUCAUUCCUCCCAUUAGGAGGGCACCUUCUAACUAGUCAGCCUAAAGUGUUUGCAUUCUCUUCCUGGGAUCCUUAGGAUCCUUCAGUAAUUUUUUUUAAGUGAAGAUUUUUAUAUUUCGAUAUUUUUUCAAUUAUGAUGCCUAAAAACAAUUUUUAACUGUAGUUUUUUUUUUUUAAAUUUGUCCCAAAUUCUCUGUCUCCUUCCCCUUCCUUGAAAAGCAAGCAAUUUGAUAUAGAUUAUUCUUGUGCAGUUAUGAAAAACAUUUCCAUAUUAGCUAUGUUACAAAAGAAAACACUCCAAGAAACCCCAAGAAAAAUAAGGUUUUAAAAAAAGUACACUUAGAUCUGUGUUCAGACUCUAUCAGUUCUUUCUCUGGUGGAGAAUAGGUUUUUUUUAAAUCAUAAGUCCUUUAGAAUUGUCUUGGAUAAUUGCAAUGCUGAAAAUAGCCAAGACAUUCACAGUUGAUCAUUGUAUAGUAUUGUUCUUCCUGGGUUACAAUGUUCUAAUUCAGCUCAUUUUGCUUUUUAUCAGUUCAUGUAAGUCUUCCCAGGUUUUCCUCAUCAGUAACUUGGUGGAUCUGGAGAAGGGGCAAAGCCAGCUCAGCUCUAAAGAGAAGUGAAUUUGACUAAUUUAUUGACUCAAGGCUUGCAUUAGAAGUGGUCAUUACAGAGGCUUCAUUGUACAUACAUUUUUGGCCUAAUGACAGUACUAAUGUUCCAGAAGCAAUUUAACCACACAGUUUAAAUAAAUUUAGUGGCUCUUGAUGUUUGUUCAAAAUAGUGUAAUGUCCAUCUAAUGCUAAUAUAACAGGCAUCCUUACUAGCUCCCAGGCAAAUUGAAGUGCUCAGGAUUGUAUUUUUCUGAUCACUACAUUUCAACAGGGAUAAGCAAGGGUUCCUAAUUGAUCCAUUUGUAUCUCUUCACUGAUUGAUCAUACUUAAUUUCACCUGAAAAAAUACAUCUUAUUUUUCCUAGUUAUCCAAGAUUUAUUGUAGCAUAAACUUUUAGACUUAGCUGAUCUAUUUGACUUCCUGUUAAGUCUCAUUCUCAAGUAACUCAGAUUCUCUAAGAUAAAAUGUAUUAGGAAACCUGGAGUGCUAUCCUUAGUGUUUUAAAAAUUCAUAGGUCAUUAUGGAUUAGGUAAUUAACCUGUGCAAGAUCAAUUUCUUCCAUAGAUUACUUUGAAUUUGAAAAGGAAUUUCCAGGUGCUGGCUGUUCAUACCCAUUCCAGUAUACCAAAAAUGUUGGGGGCAGGGGGAGUGGAUAAUUAGACAAUAUAAUAACAAUACAGAAAUAGAAGUAUUAGGUGAUGGGUUCAUGGGUUUAGGUCUGGAAAGGACCUCAUCUGUCCGUUAGUCCAACCACUUGGUGAGGAAAAUGAGUCCUACAGAGAUUGACUUGCCCAAUGUCACCUAGGUACUAAACAGAAAUUUGAACCUAGCUCCUAUGAGUGUAAAUUCAACAUACCCCUUGUCUGGUUCACUAUAAAGAAGAAGGUGUUUUGUGGUUUGUUUUUUUUUUUUUAAUUGAGAACUACACAAAAAUGGAGUGAUUUUCCUCACAAAGGAGUCAGAAAUUGUUCAAGUAAAGGCUGAAUGACACUCCGUUAGGAAUAUUAUAGAAGAAAUUCAUUCCUACAUUAGGAAGAAGGUUUGACAAAGGUGACCUUUAAGGUCUCUUCCAAUUAUGAUUUCUAUGAAAUUCCCACAUUUCCAGGGGAUUUUAAUAAUCCCAUCAUUUUCUUAUUCUCCCGUGUGGAUUUUGCCCAGUAUAAAAUCAUGGCUUUUUUUUUUCUCUAAGUAUCUUAGUCUUAAAAUCCACAAAAUGUGAUUUAAGUGAGAAGAUUUGGCAUUAGGGGAACAAGGUUCAAAUUCUGGGCUUUGCUGUUUCCUAUCUUUGUAACUUGGGGCAAGUCAUUUAAUUUCUCUUGUUUUCUCAUCUAUAAAAUAGGGAAUUGUAGACUAGGCAAGCUCUGAGGUCCUACCAGGUUAGUUCUAAUCCUAUGAGUCUCCAAAAAAUGUGACAUUGGUAGGGAAAGUGGAAUUAGGAAUUAGCUUUAAAAAACAUAAUUGAUCAUAUGUUUUCUAUGUCCCAUGCUGCUCCUUGAUCCAAAAGGAACUUUACAUAUCAUCUCAUCCAAGUACCUGUCUGGUAAAUGAAACCCCUCUACAAUAUCUAUGACAAUUGGUAAUAUUAAAAGCUUGUGUUCUUCAGGGCUGUACCCACAUAUUCUGAUAAUUGUUUCUAACCCUUUUCUGCUUACAUGCUGAAAUCCAGAAAUGCCAGAAUGCAAAUGCAAUGCUAAGAAUUCAUUUACCUUCAUUUCACCUGCUUUGCUUUAUUUUGCUUUGUUGCUUUACAUUAUUUAAAGGUCACAAUGACAUAGUUGACCCGUGUAAGGUUGAGCCAACAUCUGAUAUCUCUUUAUUUGGAAAUACUUCGUUUUUCUUAGUAUUUCCCCUUUAGCUUGGCAAGUAAUUUUGUCCAGCUACAUUCCUUGUGUCUGCCCUCAAAAGUUUUUGAUUUAUUGGAAUUACAACCAUCUAGGUUCAUUUGUCUUUUUUUGUCUUAAACAGCUUCUUUCACUGACUUAUAAAAAGAGAAGUUCAAAGUUAAUUAGUGUUCUAGAAGUUCAUAACCCCAAUCAGAGUCUGAAAACCCAGGUCCCCUUUAGGACGGAAUAGAUGGUGAACUCUCCUUGACAAAAUUUGAUCACACUCAAGAUAAUACCAGGAGAGGGGUGGCUGGGAACCUCCAUAUAUAUGUGUAUUUUAGGAUACAUUAGGCAAAGUGAACUUUGUUUCAUAAUCAACUGUUAGUGUAUCUUCAAGAAAUGUGUAUCUGUCCAAGAUGGAUUUCAAGGGUAUUUCAAUGGGUUUGUAAUGAACACUUAUCUCUUCUCCUAGUACUCUCUUAGUCUCCAACCCUCCCACCCUUCCCUGCCCUGUCGGAUGAUGCCAAAGUGAUAGCAGCUAUGGAACUAGUUGUACCCAAAGAGAGGUAUAAGUCAAGUUGUCCUAGUUUGAUGUUGCCCUUUCCUGGUAUUUAUAUUUUCUCACCUAUAAGAAUGUAUAUUUUGUAUAGCAUGUGUAAUAUUUGUCUA
RNAcentral lists this long non-coding RNA (3382 nucleotides) under Sarcophilus harrisii (Tasmanian devil). Its description in RNAcentral is "lncRNA (ENSSHAG00000021090.1)". Lineage: Eukaryota; Metazoa; Chordata; Mammalia; Dasyuromorphia; Dasyuridae. The record is from RNAcentral.